UCUGGUUUAGUUCAGUUGGUAGAACGCUUGCCUUGUAAGCAAGAUGUCGGGAGUUCGAGUCUCUCAAUCAGAA
This 73-nucleotide transfer RNA is filed under the name Bacteriophage sp. RNAcentral describes it as "tRNA-Thr". It matches the Rfam family "tRNA". From Rfam's summary of the family: Transfer RNA (tRNA) molecules are approximately 80 nucleotides in length. Their secondary structure includes four short double-helical elements and three loops (D, anti-codon, and T loops). The record is from RNAcentral. RNAcentral also lists the same sequence under 2 other names.